Molecule: ribosomal RNA, 2053 nt
Filed under: human gut metagenome
Description: bacterial LSU rRNA
Rfam family: Bacterial large subunit ribosomal RNA
Source: RNAcentral
GCAAGAUACCACGGGCGCACGGCGGAUGCCUUGGCACAGGGAGCCGAUGAAGGACGCGGCAAGCUGCGAUAAUCCCCGGCGAGGAGCACACAUCCUUCGACCCGGGGGUCUCCGAAUGGGCGAACCCAUGCACAGCAGUGUGCAUAUCCCCCCGCUGAACACAUAGGCGGGGGGAGGACAACCCGGGGAACUGAAACAUCUAAGUACCCGGAGGAGAGGAAAUCAAUCUCGAGACUCCCCGAGUAGCGGCGAGCGAAAGGGGACCGAUGGCCAAACCGUCGAGCGGGCAUACCCGGCAGGGGUUCCGCCGACGGGGUUGCAGGGCCGCGCAUCCGGGGGCUGCCGCCCCCGGGCGCAGGUCCGGCUGGGGAGCGGAACGGCAUGGGAGGGCCGGCCGCAGCGGGUGACAGCCCCGUACGCGAACCCAGACCGGACGGCGCGACGCGGUCCCUGAGUAGGGCCGGGCACGUGAAACCCGGUCCGAACCUGGGUGGACCACCAUCCAAGCCUGAGUACUACCCUGUGACCGAUAGCGCACCAGUACCGUGAGGGAAAGGUGAAAAGCACCCCGGGAGGGGAGUGAAACAGUACCUGAAACCGUGCGCCCACGAGCAGUCGGAGCAACUUUUAGUUGUGACGGCGUGCCUUUUGUAGAAUGAGCCAGCGAGUCGCUGGCGCGGGGCGAGGUUAACCGAAAGGGAGCCGGAGCGAAAGCGAGCCUUAACAGGGCGACUUGAGUCCCGCGCCGCGGACGCGAAGCCGGGUGAGCUAUCCGUGGGCAGGCUGAAGCGGGGGUAAGACCCCGUGGAGGGCCGAACGCACGUCGGUUGAAAACGGCGGCGAUGACCUGCGGAUAGGGGUGAAAGGCCAAUCAAACCCGGAGAUAUCUCGUUCUCCCCGAAAUAGCUUUAGGGCUAGCGUCGCGCGUUCACCGCCGGAGGUAGAGCACCGGAUGGACGAGGGGGCUUCGCCGCCUACCGAAUCCAACCGAACUCCGAAUGCCGGCGGCCCAGAGCGCGGCAGUCAGAGCAUGUGGGCUAAGCUGUGUGCUCGAGAGGGAAACAGCCCGGACCGCCCGCUAAGGUCCCCAAGUUCCAGCCGAGUGGCAAAGGAUGUGCGUCCGCCCAGACAACCAGGAUGUUGGCUUAGAAGCAGCCAUCCAUUCAAAGAGUGCGUAACAGCUCACUGGUCGAGUGGACAUGCGCCGACAAUACACGGGGCUAAGCUGGACACCGAAGCGGCGGGAUUUUAAUUCAUUAGAAUCGGUAGGGGAGCUUCCCAUGGGCGGAGAAGCCGGAGGGCGACCGACGGUGGAGCGCAUGGGAGUGAGAAUGCUGGCAUGAGUAGCGAGAGACGAGAGAGUAACUCGUCCGCCGUGAACCCGAGGUUUCCUGGGCAAGGCUAAUCCUCCCAGGGUCAGUCGGGGGCUAAGGCGAGGCCGGUAGGCGUAGCCGACGCGCAGCAGGCAGACAUUCCUGCACCGCGCACGCGGCGCUACGACCGACGGGGCGACGGAUGGGGGUGGCUCGGCGGGGUUCUGGACGUCCCCGUGAUGGAGCGCGGCCCGCGGACCAGGGAAAUCCGGUCCGCAGAAGGGCGAGGCUCCGGACGAAGCACUUAAGCGAAGCGAGUGAGCCCGAGGUCCCUAGAAAAACCCCUAGGCAGGCGCGUGCGCGCCCGUACCGCAAACCGACACAGGUGGGUGGGUAGAACAUACCGAGGCGAUCGGGUCAACCAUGGUCAAGGAACUCGGCACAAUGGCCCCGUAACUUCGGGAGAAGGGGUGCCCGCGCGUACGUGAACGGACUUGCUCCGGGAGCGGAGGCGGGCCGCAGUGGAGAGGCCCAAGCGACUGUUUACCAAAAACACAGGACUCUGCAGAAGCCGCAAGGCGACGUAUAGGGUCUGACGCCUGCCCGGUGCCGGAAGGUCACGCGGAGGAGUUAGCCGUUAAGGCGAAGCCCCGAAGCCAAGCCCCGGUAAACGGCGGCCGUAACUAUAACGGUCCUAAGGUAGCGAAAUUCCUUGUCGGGUAAGUUCCGACCUGCACGAA